Molecule: long non-coding RNA, 878 nt
Filed under: Malus domestica (apple)
Lineage: Eukaryota; Viridiplantae; Streptophyta; Magnoliopsida; Rosales; Rosaceae
Description: long non-coding RNA (MDOM_LNC005490)
Source: RNAcentral
GCAUGUGUAGAUUAUAAGUAAUUGGUAAAAAUUCAUAGGAUUGCUAGGUGAUGGUGGAACACUAGUGCUUUCUUAAUUUUAUUCUCUCAAAACUGUUUUCUUUUCUCUCUAGCUCUAAUAUUGCAAAUUGUUUAUUUUAAUUCAUUAAAUUCGUUUUUAUUUUAAUUAGGUUAUAAAAUCAAUCACUCCAAUUUCUACUUUACAGUAAUUAAAUGGAAUCUGAUUAGUUCGAAUUAUUUAAUAAUCCCUGUGGAGACGACCUUGCGAGAUCCGUUUAUAUUAGAAUAAUCUUGUGAUUCUUGCAAGUAAAAUAGGAGAUUUAAGCCCUUUCACAUGAGUAGUAAAAAAUCCCUAUCACUCCCCCAUGACUUUCUAUGAGGUUCAUAGUUGUUUUCAGAUAUUACAAAAUGUUAGGACAAUCCAUUGGUGCACAAUGGCAUGGUUGUCAAAGUUAUAGCUCAUAAGGUAACUCGCAAUUCACAAUUAAACAUCAUGGAUAUUGAACUCAAGUCUCCUAGAGUGUGAAACUAACUGAUGUUAACAGCCAGAUGUAGUGUGUCUAUGAACUGGUGAAUAUUGUCAACACCCUUCUUCUUACUUGUAUGAAUAAACUUCUCCCAAUCUUUCCUCCCAAGUAGUUAGCGGAAAGUGAGGGACCAUUUUCUAUUUUGACAUAUCAGAAAAUGCUGUGCUUAGGUACCAACUUCCUUUGUAGUGUUUAAUCUUCUUCUUCCAUGUCACUAAAUAACCUUCGUUGUUAUUACUUCUUUCUAGAGAUAACCUUCGUCUCCUCGUUUGACUGGUAUAACAGUUAGACUUGGCAUUCGUGUCGUGUUUUCCGUGUUCGUGUCGUUUUCGUGUCAUACCCGAUAUCUUAA